Molecule: ribosomal RNA, 253 nt
Filed under: uncultured bacterium
Lineage: Bacteria
Description: partial 16S ribosomal RNA
Rfam family: Bacterial small subunit ribosomal RNA
Source: RNAcentral
UACAGAGGGUGCGAGCGUUAAUCGGAAUUACUGGGCGUAAAGCGCGCGUAGGCGGCUUUGCAAGUCGAGUGUGAAAUCCCCAGGCUUAACCUGGGAACUGCAUUCGAGACUGCAUAGCUAGAGUAUGGGAGAGGGAAGUGGAAUUUCAGGUGUAGCGGUGAAAUGCGUAGAUAUCUGAAGGAACAUCAGUGGCGAAAGCGACUUCCUGGACCAAUACUGACGCUCAUGUGCGAAGGCGUGGGGAGCAAACAGG